This is a microRNA precursor of Cyprinus carpio carpio, 52 nucleotides long. Lineage: Eukaryota; Metazoa; Chordata; Actinopteri; Cypriniformes; Cyprinidae. The record is from Ensembl.
AGCCACUUGUCAUUAACCCGUAGAUCCGAUCUUGUGAUAAGUUUAAUGGCAC